This 407-nucleotide ribosomal RNA is filed under the name uncultured bacterium. Its description in RNAcentral is "partial 16S ribosomal RNA". It matches the Rfam family "Bacterial small subunit ribosomal RNA", at positions 30 to 526 of the family's 1533-position model. The record is from RNAcentral.
AUUGAACGCUGGCGGCAGGCCUAACACAUGCAAGUCGAGCGGAGCGGCGGACGGGUGAGUAAUUCCUAGGAAUCUGCCUGGUAGUGGGGGAUAACGUCCGGAAACGGGCGCUAAUCUCGCAUACUAUCAGAUGAGCCUCUGUCGGAUUGGCUAGUUGGUGGGGUAAAGGCCUACCAAGGCGCCUAUCCGUAACUGGUCUGCGAGGAUGAUCAGUCCCACUGAAACUGAGACACGGUCCAGACUCCUACGGGAGGCAGCAGUGGGGAAUAUUGGACAAUGGGCUAAAGCCUGAUCCAGCCAUGCCGGGUGUGUGAAGAAGGUCUUCGGAUUGUAAAGCACUUUAAGUUGGGAGGCGUUACCAACAGAAUAAGCACCGGCUAACUUCGUGCCAGCAGCCGCGGUAAUAC